Long non-coding RNA from Dermochelys coriacea (leatherback sea turtle), 161 nucleotides. RefSeq lists it as uncharacterized. The record is from RefSeq and is a predicted model, not a curated record. NCBI's taxonomy places the organism in Eukaryota, Metazoa, Chordata, Testudines, Dermochelyidae. The transcript has 3 exons.
UGGCUGCAGCAGGACAGGCAUCCGUGCUGCCCAGCUGAAGCCAGCCACGCACCGCGCAGCAUAGAGCACUGGGUCAGGCCAAGCUCUGCAGCUGCGCUGCCCCAGGAGUUCGCAGCCACGCCGCCCAGAGCAUUGCGCCAGUGGUGCAGUGAGCUGAGGGG